This 77-nucleotide transfer RNA is filed under the name Chloroflexota bacterium. RNAcentral's name for it is "tRNA-Val". It matches the Rfam family "tRNA". Rfam says of the family: Transfer RNA (tRNA) molecules are approximately 80 nucleotides in length. Their secondary structure includes four short double-helical elements and three loops (D, anti-codon, and T loops). Further hydrogen bonds mediate the characteristic L-shaped molecular structure. tRNAs have two regions of fundamental functional importance: the anti-codon, which is responsible for specific mRNA codon recognition, and the 3' end, to which the tRNAs corresponding amino acid is attached (by aminoacyl-tRNA synthetases). tRNAs cope with the degeneracy of the genetic code in two manners: having more than one tRNA (with a specific anti-codon) for a particular amino acid; and 'wobble' base-pairing, i.e. permitting non-standard base-pairing at the 3rd anti-codon position. Lineage: Bacteria; Bacillati; Chloroflexota. The record is from RNAcentral.
GGUCAUUUAGCUCAAUUUGGGAGAGCACUUCCCUUACAAGGAAGAGGUUACAAGUUCAAGUCUUGUAAUGAUCACCA